AAUGGUAAUUAGUUUAAACUAAAAUAACUGAUUUCGACUCAUUAGAUUAUGGUAAUCCAUAAUUACCAAU
This 70-nucleotide transfer RNA is filed under the name Microcebus murinus (gray mouse lemur). RNAcentral's name for it is "tRNA-Arg". It matches the Rfam family "tRNA". Rfam says of the family: Transfer RNA (tRNA) molecules are approximately 80 nucleotides in length. Their secondary structure includes four short double-helical elements and three loops (D, anti-codon, and T loops). Further hydrogen bonds mediate the characteristic L-shaped molecular structure. tRNAs have two regions of fundamental functional importance: the anti-codon, which is responsible for specific mRNA codon recognition, and the 3' end, to which the tRNAs corresponding amino acid is attached (by aminoacyl-tRNA synthetases). tRNAs cope with the degeneracy of the genetic code in two manners: having more than one tRNA (with a specific anti-codon) for a particular amino acid; and 'wobble' base-pairing, i.e. permitting non-standard base-pairing at the 3rd anti-codon position. The record is from RNAcentral. RNAcentral also lists the same sequence under 1 other name. Lineage: Eukaryota; Metazoa; Chordata; Mammalia; Primates; Cheirogaleidae.